UGAACCGCAUGGUUCAGACAUAAAAGGUGGCUUCGGCUACCACUUACAGAUGGACCCGCGGCGCAUUAGCUAGUUGGUGAGGUAACGGCUCACCAAGGCGACGAUGCGUAGCCGACCUGAGAGGGUGAUCGGCCACACUGGGACUGAGACACGGCCCAGACUCCUACGGGAGGCAGCAGUAGGGAAUCUUCCGCAAUGGACGAAAGUCUGACGGAGCAACGCCGCGUGAGUGAUGAAGGUUUUCGGAUCGUAAAGCUCUGUUGUUAGGGAAGAACAAGUGCCGUUCAAAUAGGGCGGCACCUUGACGGUACCUAACCAGAAAGCCACGGCUAACUACGUGCCAGCAGCCGCGGUAAUACGUAGGUGGCAAGCGUUGUCCGGAAUUAUUGGGCGUAAAGGGCUCGCAGGCGGUUUCUUAAGUCUGAUGUGAAAGCCCCCGGCUCAACCGGGGAGGGUCAUUGGAAACUGGGGAACUUGAGUGCAGAAGAGGAGAGUGGAAUUCCACGUGUAGCGGUGAAAUGCGUAGAGAUGUGGAGGAACACCAGUGGCGAAGGCGACUCUCUGGUCUGUAACUGACGCU
Molecule: ribosomal RNA, 580 nt
Filed under: Bacillus amyloliquefaciens
Lineage: Bacteria; Bacillati; Bacillota; Bacilli; Caryophanales; Bacillaceae
Description: bacterial SSU rRNA
Rfam family: Bacterial small subunit ribosomal RNA
Source: RNAcentral